RNAcentral lists this ribosomal RNA (525 nucleotides) under uncultured bacterium. Its description in RNAcentral is "bacterial SSU rRNA". It matches the Rfam family "Bacterial small subunit ribosomal RNA", at positions 61 to 584 of the family's 1533-position model. The record is from RNAcentral.
GUCGAACGGUAGCAGGCCUUCGGGCGCUGACGAGUGGCGGACGGGUGAGUAACGCGUAGGAAUCUGCCUCAUAGUGGGGGACAACGUGGGGAAACUCACGCUAAUACCGCAUACGCCCUACGGGGGAAAGCGGGGGAUCUUCGGACCUCGCGCUAUGAGAUGAGCCUGCGUUAGAUUAGCUAGUUGGUAGGGUAAAGGCCUACCAAGGCGACGAUCUAUAGCUGGUCUGAGAGGACGAUCAGCCACACUGGGACUGAGACACGGCCCAGACUCCUACGGGAGGCAGCAGUGGGGAAUAUUGGACAAUGGGCGCAAGCCUGAUCCAGCAAUACCGCGUGUGUGAAGAAGGCCUUAGGGUUGUAAAAGCACUUUCAAUUGGGAGGAAAAACCUGUCGGUCAAUACCCGGCAGCUUGACAUUACCUUUAGAAGAAGCACCGGCUAACUCCGUGCCAGCAGCGCGGUAAUACGGAGGUGCAAGCGUUAAUCGGAAUUACUGGGCGUAAAGCGUGCGUAGGCGGUUCGUU